This 409-nucleotide ribosomal RNA is filed under the name actinobacterium enrichment culture clone LiUU-18-350. RNAcentral describes it as "bacterial SSU rRNA". It matches the Rfam family "Bacterial small subunit ribosomal RNA", at positions 509 to 916 of the family's 1533-position model. Lineage: Bacteria; Bacillati; Actinomycetota; Actinomycetes. The record is from RNAcentral.
CAGCCGCCGCUGUAAUACAUAGGGUACAAGCGUUGUCCGGAAUUAUUGGGCGUAAAGAGCUCGUAGGUCGUUUGUUACGUCGGAUGUGAAAACCUGAGGCUCAACCUCAGGCCUGCAUUCGAUACGGGCAAACUAGAGUUUGGUAGGGGAGACUGGAAUUCCUGGUGUAGCGGUGGAAUGCGCAGAUAUCAGGAGGAACACCAAUGGCGAAGGCAGGUCUCUGGGCCAAUACUGACACUGAGGAGCGAAAGUCUGGGGAGCGAACAGGAUUAGAUACCCUGGUAGUCCAGACCGUAAACGGUGGGCACUAGUUGUGGGAACCUUCCACGGUUUCUGCGACGCAGCUAACGCAUUAAGUGCCCCGCCUGGGGAGUACGAUCGCAAGAUUAAAACUUAAAUGAAUUGACGG